RNAcentral lists this ribosomal RNA (301 nucleotides) under uncultured bacterium. RNAcentral's name for it is "partial 16S ribosomal RNA". It matches the Rfam family "Bacterial small subunit ribosomal RNA", at positions 509 to 807 of the family's 1533-position model. The record is from RNAcentral.
CAGCAGCCGCGGUAAUACGUAGGUGGCAAGCGUUGUCCGGAAUUAUUGGGCGUAAAGGGCUCGCAGGCGGUUUCUUAAGUCUGAUGUGAAAGCCCCCGGCUCAACCGGGGAGGGUCAUUGGAAACUGGGAAACUUGAGUGCAGAAGAGGAGAGUGGAAUUCCACGUGUAGCGGUGAAAUGCGUAGAGAUGUGGAGGAACACCAGUGGCGAAGGCGACUUUCUGGUCUGUAACUGACGCUGAUGUGCGAAAGCGUGGGGAUCAAACAGGAUUAGAUACCCCUGUAGUCCCUGUCUCUUAUAC